UACGUAGGGGGCGAGCGUUGUCCGGAGUUACUGGGCGUAAAGGGCAUGCAGGCGGUCGGACGCGUUUUGUGUGACAGCGGAUGGCUUCACUAUCCGAGCAUACGAAAGACGGUUUGACUUGAGGACUCGAGAGGGACACGGAAUUCCGGGUGGAGUGGUGAAAUGCGUAGAGAUCCGGAGGAACACCGAAGGCGAAGGCAGUGUCCUGGCGAGUGACUGACGCUGAGGUGCGAAAGCUAGGGGAGCGAACGGG
RNAcentral lists this ribosomal RNA (253 nucleotides) under uncultured bacterium. RNAcentral describes it as "partial 16S ribosomal RNA". It matches the Rfam family "Bacterial small subunit ribosomal RNA", at positions 524 to 776 of the family's 1533-position model. The record is from RNAcentral.